RNAcentral lists this ribosomal RNA (373 nucleotides) under uncultured organism. RNAcentral describes it as "partial 16S ribosomal RNA". It matches the Rfam family "Bacterial small subunit ribosomal RNA", at positions 527 to 896 of the family's 1533-position model. The record is from RNAcentral.
GUAGGUGGCAAGCGUUGUCCGGAAUUAUUGGGCGUAAAGCGCGCGCAGGCGGUCCUUUAAGUCUGAUGUGAAAGCCCACGGGCUCAACCGUGGAGGGUCAUUGGAAACUGGGGGACUUGAGUACAGAAGAGGAAAGCGGAAUUCCAAGUGUAGCGGUGAAAUGCGUAGAGAUUUGGAGGAACACCAGUGGCGAAGGCGGCUUUCUGGUCUGUAACUGACGCUGAGGCGCGAAAGCGUGGGGAGCAAACAGGAUUAGAUACCCUGGUAGUCCACGCCGUAAACGAUGAGUGCUAAGUGUUAGGGGGUUUCUGCCCCUUAGUGCUGCAGCUAACGCAUUAAGCACUCCGCCUGGGGAGUACGGCCGCAAAGGCUG